Molecule: ribosomal RNA, 330 nt
Filed under: Triticum aestivum (bread wheat)
Lineage: Eukaryota; Viridiplantae; Streptophyta; Magnoliopsida; Poales; Poaceae
Description: partial small subunit ribosomal RNA
Source: RNAcentral
AUGGGCCGCGGAUCAUCUUCCGCUCCAGAAUGGGAGACGGACUGGGCUGACGCCGUUAGUGCCGCUAUUCCCGCUGCUUGCCUUCCAUCUGCUCAGCCACCGCCACCGCCCCCGCCCUGUCCUCCACCACGUACUGUAAAAAAGCCAAAAAGAAAAUCGCCAACCUUUUUAAUUUCUUCUCGUACUCCCAUGAUCAGCACGAAGAUGAGCGGGCGACGGAUCCACGUGGGCGAGGAGGUGUCGCUGAUAGUCAGGGCGUGCCGGCUGGGAUUCGGGAGCAGAUCCUCGAGGCGACCUAACCGCUGGCCGCUGCGGUGCCUCAUCGGCUAG